RNAcentral lists this long non-coding RNA (216 nucleotides) under Nicotiana benthamiana. RNAcentral describes it as "long non-coding RNA (NBEN_LNC004452)". Lineage: Eukaryota; Viridiplantae; Streptophyta; Magnoliopsida; Solanales; Solanaceae. The record is from RNAcentral.
UAAGGUUUUGAAUUUUUGUUUAUUCGUGGAAUUUGGGAAGGUUUAUGGGAUUUUGGGGUUCGGAUUCAUGGAGAGUAGGUUAAAUGGAAGAAGUGGUAAAAUUUUGGGGUGAUUUGGUGGUGGACCGCUGCCGGUGGGCGAUUUCCGGCGGUGGAGAUGAGUGGCGAUGGACGGUGGUGAUAGAUAAGAGGAGGAGAGAAGAGAAGAUGACUAGGG